UCGGGAAUAUUGGGCAAUGGGCGCAAGCCUGACCCAGCGACGCCGCGUGAGGGAUGAAGGCCUUCGGGUCGUAAACCUCUGUCGGGAGGGAAGAAUGGCGGUGAAGCGAAUAGCUUCGCUGUCUGACGGUACCUCCAAAGGAAGCGUCGGCUAACUCCGUGCCAGCAGCCGCGGUAAUACGGAGGGCGCAAGCGUUGUUCGGAAUCACUGGGCGUAAAGCGCGUGUAGGCGGCCGGGCAAGUCGGAUGUGAAAUCCCGAGGCUCAACCUCGGAACUGCAUUCGAAACUGCUCGGCUCGAGUCCCGGAGAGGAUGGCAGAAUUCCCGGUGUAGGGGUGAAAUCCGUAGAUAUCGGGAGGAAUACCAGUGGCGAAGGCGGCCAUCUGGACGGUGACUGACGCUGAGACGCGAAAGCGUGGGGAGCAAACAGGAUUAGAUACCCUGGUAGUCCACGCCGUAAACGGUGAGUGCUAGACGUCGCGGGUAUU
Molecule: ribosomal RNA, 487 nt
Filed under: uncultured Pseudomonadota bacterium
Lineage: Bacteria; Pseudomonadati; Pseudomonadota
Description: bacterial SSU rRNA
Rfam family: Bacterial small subunit ribosomal RNA
Source: RNAcentral